RNAcentral lists this small nuclear RNA (305 nucleotides) under Octodon degus (degu). Its description in RNAcentral is "7SK RNA (ENSODEG00000024379.1)". It matches the Rfam family "7SK RNA". Rfam says of the family: 7SK was discovered as an abundant small nuclear RNA in the mid-70s but a possible function has only recently been suggested. The record is from Rfam by way of RNAcentral. Lineage: Eukaryota; Metazoa; Chordata; Mammalia; Rodentia; Octodontidae.
GGAUGUGAGGGGGAUCUGGCUGUGACAUCUGUCGCCCACUGAUCACCAGGGUUGAUUCAGCAGACCUGGCUGCCUAGGCAGGUGUCCCUGUCCUCCCUAAAUGAUCCAUGUGCAUUCCUCCCUAAGCUGUGCGCUCGGUCGAAGAGGAUGACCAACCCCAAUAGAGGAGGACUGUUCCUCGGUCAAGGGUAUACGAGUAGCUGCGCCCCCCUGCUAGAACCUCCAAACAAGCUCUCAAAAUGUUUCAUGAGACUUGAAAAAGAAAACUGCUGACAAAUUCAUAGAAUUAAAACAAUUCUCUCUAU